This 253-nucleotide ribosomal RNA is filed under the name uncultured bacterium. RNAcentral describes it as "partial 16S ribosomal RNA". It matches the Rfam family "Bacterial small subunit ribosomal RNA", at positions 524 to 776 of the family's 1533-position model. The record is from RNAcentral.
GACGUAGGAGGCGAGCGUUGUCCGGAUUCAUUGGGCGUAAAGAGCGCGCAGGCGGCUUGUUAAGUCGGAUGUGAAAUCCCGAGGCUCAACCUCGGGUCUGCAUCCGAUACUGCCCGGCUAGAGGUAGGUAGGGGAGAUCGGAAUUCCUGGUGUAGCGGUGAAAUGCGCAGAUAUCAGGAGGAACACCGGUGGCGAAGGCGGAUCUCUGGGCCUUACCUGACGCUCAGGCGCGAAAGCUAGGGGAGCGAACUGG